GAGUAAUUCAAACUUGUUAAA
This 21-nucleotide microRNA is filed under the name Medicago truncatula (barrel medic). Its description in RNAcentral is "mtr-miR2592bl-3p". Lineage: Eukaryota; Viridiplantae; Streptophyta; Magnoliopsida; Fabales; Fabaceae. The record is from miRBase by way of RNAcentral.